UGACUAUGGCGUUUCAGUACGUUCGAGUGUUAAGUUGCUAUCGGUAAAUAUCUUUCAGUAUUCUCAAAGUCAAUUAAAUUUGUACUGUUAUUACUACAGAGAUGAUUGAAAGAGUAUCACAAUUGCUCAUUUCUGACAAUGUAUCACCGCUUAUGGAUAUUUGACCAUUUAUAAACAUAAACGGCAACUAUAUAAAUAGUCUAACAAUGGAAGUAGAUACGAAAAGACUUUAGGAAACUCGUUCGAAAAUAUAACUUUAUUAACAAUAUAACUACCUCGACUAAAUUGAAAUCUAAUACUAAAUAAUUUUGCAAGAAAACUAUUGGAAAGCAUUCACUGUGCCACCAGUCCUAGAAUUGAAAAAUGCUUCGAAUGCCACCAGUGUCCAAGUACAAAAAUAAAAAUCUACAGAUAUAGAAUUGAGUGAAUAGAAAAGAGAUGUAAAAAUUUCAUAUUCCACUCCCUGAAUCUUUUGUAUGGUUACUUUCGUCGCAUUGCUAUCCAUGAACAAAGAAAUAUUUAACAUAUUAAGAAGAUCUUUGGCACAAAAUUGAAACAGCUAUCAUCUAUAUUAUCGUCCCUUUCAUAUUUUCCUCAAACUUAAAAGAUUUGUUAGCGGAUGGAAACCACAACCUGAUAUGGUGCGAACAACGUAAACCCUCGACGAGGAAUGCGACGAAACCGAACACAACUGAAAAUGGUUUUCCAAGCAGUGAGGCGGCCGUCCGUUCCACACUCGCUUGUUGGUUCGCCGUUGAAGCAGCCACGACUUUGCUAAAUAAAAUCAUUUUCGCGGCCGCCGAUACUCUAGGGAAUAAUUACGAGUGGUGGCGGAUUACGCGCGUGCACCAGCCGGGCUGCCUGCUGGUACACGGUAUCGAUGAAAUACCGAUAAUCGAUUGCCCUAUACAAGGCAUAUAUCCGGUAGGUCGAUGGCUGAACACGCGCCUACUGUUCUAUACCCGGCAAUUUGUACCGGUGCUGGCGGCGGUGCACGCGGUUGCAUUAUAAUACCGCCGCGGCCCGCUUAUUAUUUACGAGCGAUGGCUGGCUGGCUCCAAGGGGUGGCAAUAUAUCGACACCCCGCGGAGUUUCCUCCUUUGGCUACUGGUUACCAUUCAUAAUGGAGUAUAAUGGCCCCCUUUCCGUCGUUCCGUAGCCGAGCCACAGGGUCUACAAUCCAGGAGUUUAAUCCGCAGUCAAAGUGCAACAACCCCCCAUCGCCGUGUACUAGCCAGCUUCUGUAUAUAUAUAUCUAAUUCUAGCUCUAUUUCGCUUUUACUUAUGUUCUAUAUUUAACCGUAGAGACUGUCGUGGGUGAAAUUUCAACCUCUCUCGAAUUUCUGUUGUGCUGUAAUAAUACCAUUGCAGUGUUAGUUAUAAUCUAGUAAAAUAAUCAUCUUUAUACUUAUUGUCUAAUAUUUAAAAAUGGUAAAAAGUUAAAGAGAUGUUGUUAUAAACCACUGCAAAGCAAUAAUUUUUCUAUUUUCAAUUCAGCAUCUUUAAUAUUUAGCAGUGAUGAAAGAUAUAGUGAAUACUGUUGAUCUCUAAAAUAAAAAUAGAAUAUACUGGGGUAGAAUUUCAUAACAUGAUAUUCUUUGAUUAUUAGUUCUAGGGUUUAAAUUCGUUUGUAUUUAUAUUUGUACUGUAAUCCUAUCAAGAGGGAAAAUUUCUUUUAUGAAUUGUUAAUAGUAAAAUCUUAUUCUUUCUGAUGCUUUUGUGAAGAAGACAUAAUACACUAAAAUUAAUCAUUCAUUUAGUUACCAAUAGGAUUUGCAAUUUUAAAUCUUAUCAGGGGAAUCGAAGAAAAAGUAGGCUUGCAUAAAUACUUGGAAAAAGAUGCUUUUGAAAGAGGAAAUUUUGGUGGCAACCGUAUCGCAGUAGCAGGGAAGAUAUAGUGAAGACUAAAUACAGAAAAUGAUUCGAUGCUGGUGAUGAAGGGAUGUAGUUUUUAUUUGAAGCAGAAUAGUAAUUAGAAUAGAAUAGAGUAGUAAUAUAAUACGUAGAAAUAUAUCAGCUCCUUUAAAGGUACAACUCAUAUGAAAAUAUACAAAUUAAAAACAGUAUUGUUUAAUAGUACCACGUUUCCUCUAAACAACCGCCAAAACACUACAUUCUUUACGUUCCAUUUCCAGAUUUCAACAAACUACAAAAUCACUACUGUCCAUAUACACCAAUACAACCACCAGGAUGUCCAACUAUAGGCACCAAUACUGUAAAUCGAAUCUCAGCGUAACAACACAAUUAAACAAACAACCAAAAAAAAAAAAAAAAAAAACGAAGGAAAGGAAAAAAAAAGAGAUUGAAAGUAAAAAUAGAAUAUAAACAAUAUGCCGUUGAAAAAUCGAGAAACGAAUAAUCGUUUCCAUUUACCCGCUGCGUUUUUCUAAACGGUAAAGAAAGGUGACGCUCGUAAAAUUUCGUUCGAUAAAAAUUUCAAUACAAAACAUAGAAAGUGUGUGUAGGAGAGAGAGAGAAAGAGACCAAAAAAUCGGGGGUGGAGCAGAGAACGGGAUCGCGCUCAAAAUCGAAAAUCAAUGGAAACAUCGAUAUUUGUCGAAUACUUAAAAAGCACGAUCCCGCGGAAAAGCGGCGAAACACAAGCGGACGGCCCCGCUGGGAUGGCUUUUAAAAUUUUUUCGACUUCCAUCAAUAUUUGCUCUGACUUCGCUGCCCCUCUCUUCCUACACCCACUGCUGUGUUCACCUCUCCGGCUGGGAACGCCGAGCUUCACCCUCUACCUGUAUCGACCGUGUACACGUGUGUGCAGCCACGUAUAUUUGCUCGUGGCUGGCUCAAGUGCGCGUUUUGGAAGCCAAUUCUGAAUUGGAUCCUUCGAAUCCUUGUCACGGAUCAGGGAAGAGUGUAUAGUGUUGCCGAACGUCGGGAGUGAGAGGAAGAAAGAGUUGAUGAAAUUAUAACAUUCAAUGUAUUGAUUGAUGCAUGAGAAAUGUAAUGUUAUGUAAAAUAAUUACAUUGGUAUGUGUAAAUAUUGAAAAUGUUGGGUUUUACAAAUAGUGUACAAGUAUAAUAUUCUAGUAAGUAUGCAAUGGAAUGUUUCUGGUGCAGUAUCUCACUUGAUUCAAAGUACAGAGUAAUUUGAGGAUAUGCUUUUGAGGAUGUAGAUCAAUGUUUCCUAUUGUUUUCUAACAAUGCUCUCAAUAACAUUAGCCAUCUCAAAAGGGGUCGAAUUGCUUAUAAGUAAUAACAAUCCUUUAGUAUCUAAUACAUGAUACUGAAAAUAAAAGAUUAAGCACUAAAUUACAGUAAGAUAUCAGUACACAUCACUGUUAUUCAACGUAGUUAAGUAAAAUAGAAGUUCUGGAGUGAAACAAAGAUUCAUUAAAGAUAUCAAUACACUGUUGAAUAACUGUAUCAAAUACUACUUAACAAACCCACCCCUUUUUCUUCAGGAUAGUCACAAAAAUUCCUCAUACGUUUCAACCACCAAUCCUAACUUAUUAUUUAUUUAAAGAACAUAAAUUAGUACAAAAUCAGUAAACACUAUUAAACAGAAAAAAAGGAAAGAUCUACAUAACAUGAACAAAUUUUACAGUGAAACCAUUCGGAAAUCAGAGCUACAAAAUGGAGCGCGCCACUACGUUCCAGAAAUUCUCGCGAGAAUAUCGUCGGGAAACGUGGCCGCUUCUUUGUGAACCGCUUCGUCUCUAUUUCUACCGAUAUAUAUCGAGGGUACUUUGAUGACGUCUUUUUUCUUAUUUAGAGCGGUUUUUAAAGCGUACUUAACUUCGUGUCUAAAGCAGUUUCUGAUUAACACUUUCGCACCCGGCCAUUUCUUCACUUCGCUAGAACUGAAAGCCGCGCCAAAAGGAGUAAGCCCAAAGCUGGUUCCCGCAGGUUUCUGUCACUAACAGAAGGGCUGCUAAUAACUUAGAAGAUCUUCAAGAUUUUGAUCGAUGAACAAGAAUACUGGAUAAGUAUUGCUGAAAGAUUUGCAAAGAGAGACACUUGUAUUGUAUUAUGCUAGUACAUCUAGUAUAAAAUUAUUGAUUUGCCAAUAGCAAACAACUGCAUAUAGCUCAAUUAUAUAGCUUGGCAUUAUCUUAUAUAAGUUGAAUUUUGUUUGCUGAUAAGAACAACAAUGGUAAUUGACUACAAUUUCUCAUUUUGAUUUCAAAGUUAAGAAGCAAAAGCUAUAAUAAGUAGACUUCUUGGUAUCAGCGCAAUGAUACGGUAUAAAGUAGAAUAUUAUACUGACAUAGAUCCUGACAUAUAUGCACAACUUCUAACGGUAUGUCAUGUAGCAUUAUACAGUUAAAAAACGACCCAAUUAAUAGACUAACAAUAUAUAUCAUCAGAGUAAUUGAAAGUUUUCAAGAUAAAGAAUCGAAUCGACAGAAACUCGCCUUCCACCCUCCGCUAUUACUUUCCUCCACCUCCACCCUCGAAGCCGCCCUUUCAUCGGUUAUACGUGCGCGUAUUUCACUGUUCCGAGCCGCGGUGUUUCGGCCGACAAGGCCGCGCCACCAUCAAAUUCAUUCUAUCACUCGGGCAUAUUCCAUUAAUUACUUUCACUUUGCGUCAAUGGCAUUUCCAUUUCAAUGAUCGUCGUCGCCCUCGCCUCCACGCGUCGACGCCGUUUCCACUGCCGGCAUCCCCUUCCAGUGGAAUCCGCCGCUUUCUGUUCUCCAUUGAAUUACGUUUUGUAUUGUAAGUGAAAUAUAACAGCCGCCUACCUAUCCGGAG
Long non-coding RNA from Bombus terrestris (buff-tailed bumblebee), 4707 nucleotides. RefSeq lists it as uncharacterized. The record is from RefSeq and is a predicted model, not a curated record. The transcript is spliced from 8 exons. NCBI's taxonomy places the organism in Eukaryota, Metazoa, Arthropoda, Insecta, Hymenoptera, Apidae.